Non-coding RNA from Paramuricea clavata, 292 nucleotides. The record is from the annotation of a GenBank genome assembly. Lineage: Eukaryota; Metazoa; Cnidaria; Anthozoa; Malacalcyonacea; Plexauridae.
UCGGACCUUGUAUCUUAAAAGUGUACUUGGAACAGCCGAACAAAGUGGUAAAUUUUGUUACCUCGUUUAAACUGGCUAUGAAAUAUCCUGAAUACUUCGUCGAGUUCUCUACCGUCAUGUGACCUGUAGUUUAAUGUGGCACGCGUCUUUGAAAGGGCUUUACUUGACUUUAAUCGACGUGUAAGGUAUAACUUAGGUAAGCCAACAUUUCUUUGUAAUGCAAGCUACAUUUUCAUAUCUUUAAUGUGUGAAUAUUUAAUUUUGUAAAAAAUUAAGCCCAAUAUGUUGUUGG